UGAGGAAUAUUGGUCAAUGGGCGGGAGCCUGAACCAGCCAAGCCGCGUGAGGGAAGAAGGUACAGCGUAUCGUAAACCUCUUUUGUUCAGGGAACAAAAGGCGGGGAC
This 108-nucleotide ribosomal RNA is filed under the name uncultured bacterium. RNAcentral's name for it is "partial 16S ribosomal RNA". It matches the Rfam family "Bacterial small subunit ribosomal RNA", at positions 355 to 460 of the family's 1533-position model. The record is from RNAcentral.